GGGCGGGCGGGCGGGCGGGGAGCCGUUAUUUACACGCUGGGAGGGAGGGAACCUUUUACACACGUCCUUGGGAGAGCGAGUUGUGGCGCGGGGGGUCGCCAGAGCCCCUUCAUCUGAGCCUGGAGGGGAGGAAGAGGCUCUUUUCUCCUCCCCACCACUGAGGCCAGGAUAGUCCCCGGUUUAUUCCUAUUCCAAAAGCUACGCUCAGCCGCCCACCCAGCCACCCCAGAUGAUGAAAUUCCUAUACGAAACUAGGGAUUUGAAUGCACCUUGUCACGUGGGAUGGCCUUGUCACGCGUGUUCUGUGUGGCACGUAGACAGGGCUUCCCCGUGUGUGGUGUCUUUUGGGUAAGGAUUUGACCACUUGGGAAGCAGGCCUAAGAGUAGUACCCAUUUCUUCAUUGAGGAACGCCUCAGAAGUUUCCAGGAAAGGGAUAAGACACUUCUCUUAAUGGUUUAAAGACAGGGUUUCUCAAAUUAGCGUCUCCAGCUGUUUUUGGACUACAACUCCCAUUAUUAUUAUUAUUAAAAUUUGUAGACCGCCCUUCAUCCAUAGAUCUCAGGGCAGUUCACAAUUUAAAGUAUUAGCACAAACAUGGUACAAAAGAAGACACCAGUGGUCAGGGAUGAUGGGAAUUGCUGUCCGAAAACAGCUGAAGACCCAAGUUUGGGAAACCCUGGUCUAAGAUAUAAGUCCUAGGAUAACUUGUGACACAGAAAAGCGAGUGGUGAGCAGUGACUACAUGGGAGAAGGGGUAAGGACAAAGUGAGGUUAGAAUCAACAUUUUUCAACUACCAUAGCCCCACCCCCCCCGAAAUAGUUUAUGGCCCGCUUCCACAUGAUACUAUAAAAACCAAAAGCAGUGUGCCUAUGAGGCAUUGUACUCCCUUGCCAUUGUUAUGUCCUUUGCCCCUGUGCAUAAAGUGAUAGUAUUUGAGUGCAGCACCGCCUGGUCUGUGGAACUGGUGUGCUAGCACCUGGUGCCCCAGGUUAUAUGAGGCACCAGAUACAUGUAACACCGGAUGGGUAAGUUCUUGGUCAUCUACCAACAUGUUUAAAUUGACAUACACACACCCUUGUUCCCCCUUACAGAGAAAAGGUGGAGCAAAGAACGGUAGCCAGUAACAGACCAUGACACCUCUUAGAGGAUAAAGUUCUCUCAUUUUCCCAUGUGGCAAAAUAUAUAGGAAAGUUCCAAUAACAAAAUUUUGAAAUGGAGACAUUAACAAAUCAUCUUUUCCCACAAACCUGGCUGAAAGUUCAUGUGUGCAGCACUUUGGAGCCAGUAUGAAGGUAAAUCUUAGCCAUUGAAAAAGAUUGGGGCAGAGGUAAUCUUUGGUAAUCCCGAGUUUGUUGCCCUGAACUACCAUUUAUAGUAUUUUCCAUCUCUUGUCCUGUAUAAACUUUUAAUAUUUAAUUUUCACAUUUCAGGGCAUAAAUUAACUACUGAAGGAUCUAAUACAGGUGACAAGGUGCAAAAUACAAAACUUAAAUCUGUUCAUGCAGAAGAUCUAAACAUACUUUGAAAGAAGUCCUGUUGAGUUCAGUGAGAUUGUGUACCCUCUAAAAAGAUGAGAGAUGAGCUGAUGAGCGAUUAGAAAAGAUGUGGAGAAUUAUCUGAGAGAAAAGACACUGUACACAACAACACACCUGAGGAUGUUGGAAACCAGGGAGCCUAGAUAUAAGGCUUAGCUAACCAGAGAAAAAGAAACAAUGCAAUAUGAUGCAUGCUUACUCGGAAGUAAAGUCUCACUUCAUUCAGCAGAUCUUACCGCAGAAAAAGGUGCAUAAAAUCACAGCCAAGCAGUGCAGUGCUCUGCGUGUUCAGUCCCCCACUGUGUUCUGUUACUUCUGAGUAAUGUGCUUAGGGAUUGCAACUCAAGAAACUUUAAGGAAGGGCUGAGGCUAAGAAUCUAGAAAUGCAUUGAAAAACACACUUUUGUGGCACCAGCUCGAUCCAUAGCAUUUAAUGGUUAACUUUGACUUUAAGUUUCACUUUAUUGAGGUCAAUGGGAUUUGUAUCUGUGGGGCAGCUAUUAAACCACACCACAGCUGUUCCAAGUCCACAGAGUGCUAAAGCUCACAUGCCUUAAACAUUCAGAGAAACAAAGCCUGAGUAAGCUGUCCAGUUAAUAUAGAGUGAAGGUUGAGAAAGGAGAAUGGUGGUUCUAUAUGACUACUACAAAAUGUUCACUGCCGCUAUUAAUGGUGAUGUCUAAUGCUGUACUCUUUUUUUUGUAAAUAUAUUUACCGUAGUCACAAAUUCUGAACUGCUUGCUGAUUUAAUGCCUGUGUUUUAAUAUAGGUCUGUAUAGGCUUAGAUUAAAAUCAAAGCAAAAGAGCUUUGCCAAUUGCAUGCUGAAAAGAGUAUCAGAUUAUUUCAGCUGUUUAAUCUCUCCUCCACUGAUCUGCACUGGGCUUGCUUCAAAUAAAAAUAACUUUAUACCACUGGCUAAAUUCAAGGUGAAAUACUGUAUAGCACUAACUUCUUUUGCAAAUAAAGAUCAAUUGUGGAAGGA
Molecule: non-coding RNA, 2520 nt
Organism: Podarcis muralis (Common wall lizard)
Lineage: Eukaryota; Metazoa; Chordata; Lepidosauria; Squamata; Lacertidae
Source: RefSeq, a predicted model, not a curated record